GAUGAAGAACUCAGCGAAAUGCGAUAAGUAAUGUGAAUUGCAGAAUUCAGUGAAUCAUCGAAUCUUUGAACGCAUCUUGCGCUCCUUGGUAUUCUGAGGAGCAUGCCUGUUUGAGUGUCAUUAAAUUCUCAACUACACUGACUUUGAAUUGGUGUGGCUUGGAUUUGGGGGGAAAAUUGUUGUGGGCUUUUUGUAUAGUCUGCUCCCCUGAAAUUGAUUAGCGGUACCUUUGUGGAACUGUCUACAGGUGUGAUAAUUAUCUACAUCUUAGACAUCUGCUGGAAUGCUGCUUUCUAAACCUUACUUGUAUUGACAAUCUUGACCUCAAAUCAGGUAGGACUACCCGCUGAACUUAAGCAUAUCAAUAAGCGGAGGA
Molecule: unclassified non-coding RNA, 376 nt
Filed under: soil metagenome
Description: partial contains 5.8S ribosomal RNA, internal transcribed spacer 2, and large subunit ribosomal RNA
Rfam family: 5.8S ribosomal RNA (bases 1-120)
Source: RNAcentral